CUGAACACGAUGAUGGGAAGUAGUAGCAAGCACGUUUUUUUUAGAGAGUCAGCGGGUGGUGGAAGCUGAUAAAAGCACUUGUGAAUCCGUCCUGGAGUUGCGCAGUCGAAGUUAAUGAAGUAGGCUGUCGCCGGCUGAAAUGCCGUUAUGAGAUAAGUGGAUUAGACAAAGUACAAUGUGUCUAGUCAAUUAGGGUGGCAACGCGGGUAGCUCUCGUCCCUUUU
This 224-nucleotide non-coding RNA is filed under the name Lysinibacillus xylanilyticus. RNAcentral describes it as "T-box sequence". It matches the Rfam family "T-box leader". Rfam says of the family: Uncharged tRNA acts as the effector for transcription antitermination of genes in the T-box leader family. T-boxes are found upstream of many aminoacyl-tRNA synthetase genes and some amino acid biosynthetic genes usually in Gram-positive bacteria. The anticodon of a specific tRNA base pairs to a specifier sequence within the T-box motif, and the NCCA acceptor tail of the tRNA base pairs to a conserved bulge in the T-box antiterminator hairpin. The record is from RNAcentral. Lineage: Bacteria; Bacillati; Bacillota; Bacilli; Caryophanales; Bacillaceae.